AUGGGUGGGAGCCGAGCCUUUUCCCUCUCCUCCCUCUGCGCCGCCGCCGCCGCCGCGACCAGGUCCCCCCUCCUCUCCCCUCACCACCGCGCGCGCCACCUCCGGCCUCGCCUCGCCGCCGCCAUGUCGUCCUCCUCCUCGCCCGCCCCGGCCCCUGGGUCCGACCCCGCGGCCCCGGCGGCCUCCUCGGCGUCCUCCGCCAUCGACUUCCUCACGCUCUGCUACCGCCUCAAGACGACGAAGAGGGCGGGGUGGGUGAGGCGCGGGGUGCCGGGCCCCGAGUCGGUGGCCGACCACAUGUACCGGAUGGGAGUCAUGGCGCUCGUCGCCGCCGACCUUCCGGCCGGCGUCAACCGCGAUAGGUGUGUGAAAAUGGCGAUUGUGCAUGACAUAGCCGAAGCUAUUGUUGGCGAUAUCACCCCUGCUGAUGGUGUGCCCAAGGAAGAGAAGAGCCGUAGAGAGAAGGAAGCUUUGGACCAUAUGUGCGCAUUGCUUGGUGGAGGUUCAAGAGCCGACGAAAUUCGUGAACUUUGGAUGGAGUAUGAGAACAACGCCACUUUGGAAGCGAAGGUUGUUAAAGAUUUUGACAAGGUUGAGAUGAUACUUCAAGCACUGGAAUAUGAAAAGGAGCAAGGGCGGGACCUAGAAGAGUUCUUCCAAUCGACGGCAGGGAAAUUCCAAACGGACGUCGGAAAAGCAUGGGCAGCAGAGGUUGCAUCGAGAAGAAAGUGA
RNAcentral lists this ribosomal RNA (732 nucleotides) under Triticum aestivum (bread wheat). RNAcentral's name for it is "partial small subunit ribosomal RNA". Lineage: Eukaryota; Viridiplantae; Streptophyta; Magnoliopsida; Poales; Poaceae. The record is from RNAcentral.